GCGAACGUGGCGGAACUGGUAGACGCACUGGAUUUAGGUUCCAGCGGUUUCCACCGUGUGGGUUCGAGUCCCACCGUUCGCACCA
This 85-nucleotide transfer RNA is filed under the name Acidobacteria bacterium ADurb.Bin340. RNAcentral describes it as "tRNA-Leu". It matches the Rfam family "tRNA". Rfam says of the family: Transfer RNA (tRNA) molecules are approximately 80 nucleotides in length. Their secondary structure includes four short double-helical elements and three loops (D, anti-codon, and T loops). Further hydrogen bonds mediate the characteristic L-shaped molecular structure. tRNAs have two regions of fundamental functional importance: the anti-codon, which is responsible for specific mRNA codon recognition, and the 3' end, to which the tRNAs corresponding amino acid is attached (by aminoacyl-tRNA synthetases). tRNAs cope with the degeneracy of the genetic code in two manners: having more than one tRNA (with a specific anti-codon) for a particular amino acid; and 'wobble' base-pairing, i.e. permitting non-standard base-pairing at the 3rd anti-codon position. Lineage: Bacteria; Pseudomonadati; Acidobacteriota. RNAcentral also lists the same sequence under 1 other name. The record is from RNAcentral.